AUUAAAAACCGAUGCCCUCUGGGCUUACAGGUGAUUCAUGAUAACUUCUCGAAUCGCAUGGCCUUGCGCCGGCGAUGGUUCAUUCAAAUCUCUUCCCUAUCAACUUUCGAUGCGAAGGUCUUGUCUUCGCAUGGUUACAACGGGUAACGGAGGGUUAGGGCUCGAUCCCGGAGAAGGAGCCUGAGAAACGGCUACUACAUCCAAGGAAGGCAGCAGGCGCGCAAAUUACCCAAUCCCGGCACGGGGAGGUAGUGACAAAAAAUACUGAUACAGGGCUCUUUUGGGUCUUGUAAUUGGAAUGAGUACAAUUUAAAUCCCUUAACGAGGAACAAUUGGAGGGCAAGUCUGGUGCCAGCAGCCGCGGUAAUUCCAGCUCCAAUAGCGUAUAUUAAAGUUGUUGUGGUUAAAAAGCUCGUAGUUGAACCUUGGGCCUGGCUGGCCGGUCCCCCUCACCGGGUGCACUGAUCCAGCCGGGUCUUUCCCUCUAUGGAACCCCAUGGCCUUCACUGGUCGUGGC
Molecule: ribosomal RNA, 517 nt
Filed under: uncultured fungus
Lineage: Eukaryota; Fungi
Description: SSU rRNA
Rfam family: Eukaryotic small subunit ribosomal RNA
Source: RNAcentral